Molecule: unclassified non-coding RNA, 347 nt
Filed under: soil metagenome
Description: partial contains 5.8S ribosomal RNA, internal transcribed spacer 2, and large subunit ribosomal RNA
Rfam family: 5.8S ribosomal RNA (bases 1-120)
Source: RNAcentral
GAUGAAGAACGUAGCGAAAUGCGAUAAGUAAUGUGAAUUGCAGAAUUCCGUGAAUCAUCGAGUCUUUGAACGCACAUUGCGCCCCCUGGUAUUCCGGGGGGCAUGCCUGUCCGAGCGUCAUUGCUGCCCAUCAAGCACGGCUUGUGUGUUAGGUCCCGUCCCCCUCUCCCGGGGGACGGACCCGAAAGGCAGCGGCGGCACCGCGUCCGGUCCUCGAGCGUAUGGGGCUUUGUCACCCGCUCUUGUAGGCCCGGCCGGCGCUUGCCGACACCCAACCAUUUUUUUCAGGUUGACCUCGGAUCAGGUAGGGAUACCCGCUGAACUUAAGCAUAUCAAUAAGCGGAGGA